GACAGAGGUGCCAAGCGUUAGGCGGAAUCACUGGGCUUAAAGCGUGUGUAGGCGGGUCGUUAAGUACCUUGUGAAAUCCCACGGCUCAACCGUGGAACUGCUGGGUAUACUGGCGAUCUUGAGCCACCUAGGGGCAGUCGGAACAAGUGGUGGAGCGGUGAAAUGCGUAGAUAUCACUUGGAACGCCAAUGGUGAAAACAGACUGCUGGGGGUGUGCUGACGCUGAGACACGAAAGCCAGGGGAGCAAACGGG
RNAcentral lists this ribosomal RNA (253 nucleotides) under uncultured bacterium. RNAcentral describes it as "partial 16S ribosomal RNA". It matches the Rfam family "Bacterial small subunit ribosomal RNA", at positions 524 to 776 of the family's 1533-position model. The record is from RNAcentral.